AGCAGCCGCGGUAAUUCCAGCUCCAAUAGCGUAUAUUAAAGUUGCUGCAGUUAAAAAGCUCGUAGUUGAAUUUCGGGACCAUCAUGUUGGUCGUGCCUCGGUACGUACUGGCAUUGUUGGUUUCUCCCUUCUGACGAACCAUGAUGUCAUUUAUUUGGUGUUGUGGGAAAUCAGGACUGUUACUUUAGAAAAAUUAGAGUGUUUAAAGCAAGCUAACGCUUGAAUACAUUAGCAUGGAAUAAUGAAAUAGGACGUUCGAUCCUAUUUUGUUGGUUUCUAGGAUUGACGUAAUGAUUAAUAGGGAUAGUUGGGGGCAUUAGUAUUCAAUUGUCAGAGGUGAAAUUCUUGGAUUUAUUGACGACUAACUACUGCGAAAGCAUUUGCCAAGGAUGUUUUCAUUAAUCAAGAACGAAAGUUAGGGGAUCGAAGACGAUCAGAUACCGUCGUAGUNUUAACCCAUAAACCUAUGCCGACUAGGGAUCGGAUGAUGUAAUUUUUUAAAUGACUCAUUCGGCGUACC
RNAcentral lists this ribosomal RNA (520 nucleotides) under uncultured Glomus. Its description in RNAcentral is "SSU rRNA". It matches the Rfam family "Eukaryotic small subunit ribosomal RNA", at positions 569 to 1087 of the family's 1831-position model. The record is from RNAcentral. Lineage: Eukaryota; Fungi; Glomeromycota; Glomeromycetes; Glomerales; Glomeraceae.